CCUACGGGAGGCUGCAGUGAGGAAUAUUGGUCAAUGGACGAGAGUCUGAACCAGCCAAGUAGCGUGAAGGAUGACUGCCCUAUGGGUUGUAAACUUCUUUUAUAUGGGAAUAAAAUGUUCCACGUGUGGGAUUUUGUAUGUACCAUAUGAAAAGGAUCGGCUAACUCCGUGCCAGCAGCCGCGGUAAUACGGGGGAUCCGAGCGUUAUCCGGAUUUAUUGGGUUUAAAGGGAGCGUAGGUGGAUUGUUAAGUCAGUUGUGAAAGUUUGCGGCUCAACCGUAAAAUUGCAGUUGAAACUGGCAGUCUUGAGUACAGUAGAGGUGGGCGGAAUUCGUGGUGUAGCGGUGAAAUGCUUAGAUAUCACGAAGAACUCCGAUUGCGAAGGCAGUUCACUGGACUGCAACUGACACUGAGGCUCGAAAGUGUGGGUAUCAAACAGGAUUAGAUACCCUAGUAGUC
Molecule: ribosomal RNA, 459 nt
Filed under: uncultured bacterium
Lineage: Bacteria
Description: partial 16S ribosomal RNA
Rfam family: Bacterial small subunit ribosomal RNA
Source: RNAcentral